This 468-nucleotide ribosomal RNA is filed under the name uncultured Vibrio sp. RNAcentral's name for it is "bacterial SSU rRNA". It matches the Rfam family "Bacterial small subunit ribosomal RNA", at positions 337 to 797 of the family's 1533-position model. Lineage: Bacteria; Pseudomonadati; Pseudomonadota; Gammaproteobacteria; Vibrionales; Vibrionaceae. The record is from RNAcentral.
UCCUACGGGAGGCAGCAGUGGGGAAUAUUGCACAAUGGGCGCAAGCCUGAUGCAGCCAUGCCGCGUGUGUGAAGAAGGCCUUCGGGUUGUAAAGCACUUUCAGCGAGGAGGAAGGGUAGUGUGUUAAUAGCACAUUGCAUUGACGUUACUCGCAGAAGAAGCACCGGCUAACUCCGUGCCAGCAGCCGCGGUAAUACGGAGGGUGCGAGCGUUAAUCGGAAUUACUGGGCGUAAAGCGCAUGCAGGUGGUUUGUUAAGUCAGAUGUGAAAGCCCGGGGCUCAACCUCGGAGUUGCAUUUGAAACUGGCAGGCUAGAGUACUGUAGAGGGGGGUAGAAUUUCAGGUGUAGCGGUGAAAUGCGUAGAGAUCUGGAGGAAUACCGGUGGCGAAGGCGGCCCCCUGGACAGAUACUGACACUCAGAUGCGAAAGCGUGGGGAGCAAACAGGAUUAGGUACCCUGGUAGUCCA